Molecule: long non-coding RNA, 206 nt
Organism: Arabidopsis thaliana (thale cress)
Lineage: Eukaryota; Viridiplantae; Streptophyta; Magnoliopsida; Brassicales; Brassicaceae
Product: other RNA
Exons: 2
Source: RefSeq
AAGUUUUGAGGUCUUCUUCGAUAAGAAUUAACAUAUUAUUAAAUCCAGAGAGGAGACCGACAAAGAUUGUCAUUGACUCGAUGGCUGCUGCCUUAUGUAUGGAUUUGAAUUAUGCUCACGAGUUAAAAACACUUUACACUUAUUAUUCACUAUAAUUUCUCUAAGGACAACAAUAAUGCCUCAUUGUUGAGCUUUUCUUCGCCUUG